This 427-nucleotide ribosomal RNA is filed under the name uncultured Bacillus sp. Its description in RNAcentral is "bacterial SSU rRNA". It matches the Rfam family "Bacterial small subunit ribosomal RNA", at positions 353 to 772 of the family's 1533-position model. The record is from RNAcentral. Lineage: Bacteria; Bacillati; Bacillota; Bacilli; Caryophanales; Bacillaceae.
AGUAGGGAAUCUUCCGCAAUGGACGAAAGUCUGACGGAGCAACGCCGCGUGAGUGAUGAAGGUUUUCGGAUCGUAAAGCUCUGUUGUUAGGGAAGAACAAGUGCAAGAGUAACUGCUUGCGCCUUGACGGUACCUAACCAGAAAGCCACGGCUAACUACGUGCCAGCAGCCGCGGUAAUACGUAGGUGGCAAGCGUUGUCCGGAAUUAUUGGGCGUAAAGGGCUCGCAGGCGGUUUCUUAAGUCUGAUGUGAAAGCCCCCGGCUCAACCGGGGAGGGUCAUUGGAAACUGGGAAACUUGAGUGCAGAAGAGGAGAGUGGAAUUCCACGUGUAGCGGUGAAAUGCGUAGAGAUGUGGAGGAACACCAGUGGCGAAGGCGACUCUCUGGUCUGUAACUGACGCUGAGGAGCGAAAGCGUGGGGAGCGAA